AAAGUCGUAACAAGGUUUCCGUAGGUGAACCUGCGGAAGGAUCAUUACAAAUCCAACCACGUCUUCUUACCCAAGACACCGUUGAACUGUUUGGCGCAUACAUAUGAUGCGAGUAGUGCUGUGCACGAUGCGCGGGCGGAGUGACCCCCUUCCAUGGGACACGCCGCACCGUAUCGCGUGCGCUCUACUCUAUCAUUGUGCCACCCCCUUUACACAACCUAGCGUGACCUUUGUUGCAUUUGUAUUUGUGUUAUCACACACAUGAGAACAACACACAAACAACUUAUAACAAUGGAUCUCUAGGCUCUU
Molecule: unclassified non-coding RNA, 309 nt
Filed under: Basidiomycota sp.
Lineage: Eukaryota; Fungi; Basidiomycota
Description: partial contains small subunit ribosomal RNA, internal transcribed spacer 1, and 5.8S ribosomal RNA
Rfam family: Eukaryotic small subunit ribosomal RNA (bases 1-47)
Source: RNAcentral